UGGGGAAUAUUGCACAAUGGAGGGAACUCUGAUGCAGCGACGCCGCGUGAACGAAGAAGGCUUUCGAGUCGUAAAGUUCUUUUAUAUGGCAAGAUAAUGACGGUACCAUAAGAAAAAGCCCCGGCUAACUACGUGCCAGCAGCCGCGGUAAUACGUAGGGGGCUAGCGUUGUCCGGAAUCACUGGGCGUAAAGGGUUCGCAGGCGGAAAUGCAAGUCAGGUGUAAAAGGCAGUAGCUUAACUACUGUAAGCAUUUGAAACUGCAUAUCUUGAGAAGAGUAGAGGUAAGUGGAAUUUUUAGUGUAGCGGUGAAAUGCGUAGAUAUUAAAAAGAAUACCGGUGGCGAAGGCGACUUACUGGGCUCAUUCUGACGCUGAGGAACGAAAGCGUGGGUAGCAAACAGG
RNAcentral lists this ribosomal RNA (403 nucleotides) under bacterium. RNAcentral describes it as "partial 16S ribosomal RNA". It matches the Rfam family "Bacterial small subunit ribosomal RNA", at positions 355 to 776 of the family's 1533-position model. The record is from RNAcentral.